UACGUAGGUGGCAAGCGAUACUCGGAAUCACUAGGCGUAAAGCGCAGGUAGGCGGUUUAGUAAGUCUUUUGUGAAAGCUCCCGGCUUAACUGGGAGAGGUCAAAGGAAACUACUAGGCUAGAGUUUGGUAGGGGAUACUGGAAUUCCUGGUGUAGCGGUGAAAUGCGCAGAUAUCAGGAGGAACACCGGUGGCGAAGGCGGAUCUCUGGGCCGAUACUGACGCUGAGGAGCGAAAGCGUGGGGAGCGAACAGG
RNAcentral lists this ribosomal RNA (253 nucleotides) under uncultured bacterium. Its description in RNAcentral is "partial 16S ribosomal RNA". It matches the Rfam family "Bacterial small subunit ribosomal RNA", at positions 524 to 776 of the family's 1533-position model. The record is from RNAcentral.